This 70-nucleotide transfer RNA is filed under the name Asiemphytus rufocephalus. RNAcentral's name for it is "tRNA-Asp". Lineage: Eukaryota; Metazoa; Arthropoda; Insecta; Hymenoptera; Tenthredinidae. The record is from RNAcentral.
AAAGAAUUAGUUAAAUUAAAACUUUAGUAUGUCAUACUAAAAUUAUUAGUCAAAAGUCUAAUAUUCUUUU